This 3416-nucleotide long non-coding RNA is filed under the name Diabrotica virgifera virgifera (western corn rootworm). RNAcentral's name for it is "uncharacterized LOC126878764". The record is from RNAcentral. Lineage: Eukaryota; Metazoa; Arthropoda; Insecta; Coleoptera; Chrysomelidae.
GUGGGUGGGGUAGAAAGGGAACUCUAUAGGCAGAACUGGUCCCGUAUUCCAACACCAUCGAUAUUUUUGGAAGCCAACUAAGCGUUUUAAAUUGGAAGAUUUCUGUAACGAUUUGGAAGAUCUCUGUAACGUUUUGGAAGAUAUCUGUACCGUUUUGAAAGCUUCGCUAGGCAUACCAAAUUCUAUAAUGUGCACGUUAUUAAUUUUUAGUUUUUGCAAUAAAAUAUUUUUAUUACAGAAACCAUAAAAAUAAAAAUAAUUAUUGCAAAAACAAAAAAUUAAUAACAUGCACAAGCAUAGAAUUUAGCAUGAGCAGCGAUUAUAUUUAAAAAAUGAUAAGUAUGUACGUAAGAACAAUAAUGAAACCAACAAAUGACAGUAAUAAUUAUUAUUUAUAUAAAUUUUGACAUGAAUUCAUUGUUUUCAUAACAUAUAAUGUAAAAUAAUUGUCUUUCUACCUUAGGAAUUAUUAACAUUACCUGAAAACAACUAGGUACAGUUGAGGGAAGAAAAAUAAUUUAUACACUGAAAAAAUGUCUAUUAAUAACUAAAAUAUGAAACAUUCACUUCACUAAUCACUUGGGUACGGGAUAAAAACUUAAUACACAAAUAUAAAAUUGAUAUAAAACGCAUACACAACACAACAAUUACAAAAUGACGCACUCAAUUCAAUACAAGACAACGUUGCCGUAUUUUAUUUAGGAAAUAUAUUGCAUGUUUGGCUAAAAUCUACUAAAUCAAGAAUUGAAACUUUAUUAACUUAUUUGAAUAUAAUUUAGGUUUUUUUAUAAUAAAAACAGCAGCUAACUUAACUGGAAAUAAAUAAGUAUAACGUGAAUGUAAAAAAAACAAACUUUUUUUACAUUUUAACAGGGAAACAAAAUGACCUAGGUACUUAAUUAAUUUUUAUCAGUUUUAUAUUUAAUAUUUUUAUAUAAUAUUUUGUCAUCCAUUGAUUUUAACAUAUGCAUGUCUGGAUCAAAUUUGGUACAAUUCCCAACCUCAUUCUUUGACAAAUAAUCAUGAAAAUACAUUUUUUUCUACAACCGUGUUAAAAAUGCAAUUUUUAGCACUCCAUACGAGCGUUAAAAAUGCUACUUCAAGGAACUAGUACUUUAAAAAUUUUAAGGCACUGCAGUUCGUAUUGACCGUAUAGGCAAUUUGAUGUAAUGUCAAAAAAAUAUAAAAAUGGAAUGUCCGUCAAGUUCAAGUAAAAGUUUUUGUAGAUAUUGUCCUGUAAUUACGUUUGUAGAAAAAAUUUUGUAUGAUAUGCGUGUUAAAAAGUACAUGUUUAAGGCACUCAUGUGAAUUUGCAGAACUCGCUUCGCUCAUUCUGCAAACUUUCACAUGCGUGCCUUAAACGUGUACUUUUAACACUUAUAUCAUAAAUAACUAUUUAUUCAAAAGUUUAUUGCGAUCAUCAGUUGUAAUACGAUUAAAACCGGAAAAAAAUCUUUCUCAUUUUACGUUAAUAGAAACGGGUAAACACAUUAUUUUUGCAAAGUUACAUUUUACAUACAUAUUUUAUUUUCCGUCGUUAGCUUAAUUUUAAUAGCCUCACCGAAUGUCAAAACUCUUCGUUAUAUAAAUAUUACCCGAAACACUACUGCACUGCUGCUUGAAACAAGAAAGUUUGGUAUCAGACUCCAGUUUCAUUUCUCUAAUCUCUAUGUAUUCAUACCUACGUCCUGAAUCUUAUUUUUGGUAAUGACAUUAGGAAAUUGUAACAAAAUGUCAAAUGUAAAUACUAUUAAAGAGUUAAUUUCAUUUUAGUCAUAAUGCAUAGCACAGAAAAUGUUGAUAUACAGUUAUGAGCGCGCUAAUAACCGGCAAAAUAGCUCAAAAGAUGGAAAACAUAAUACAUUGCGAAACAAUAAGAGAUGAAACUAGUGGAGGUGGAAAUUAUCGUUAUAAACGUCUAAAAUACCAUUACAUUACAUAGUUUCCCACCUUUAGACGUAUCAGAGGUAUGACAACUGUCACUGUGAGAGUAGAAUUUUAUAAAAUACUCCUGUCACAGACGUCUACAGGUGGAAAACUAUGUAAUGUAAUGUUAAUUAAUACGUUUAUAACGAUAAUUUCCACCUCCACUAGUUUCAUCUCUUUUUGUUUCGCAAUGUAUUAUGUUUUCCAUCUUUUGAGCUUUUUUGCCGGUUAUUAGCGUGCUCAUCACUGUAUACCAAAAACCUACUAAAAAAUAUUGCCUACUAGAAUUAAAAAAAAAUAUAUCAAAAAUCUAUCCAAAAAGUAGAAAUCUGCUGAAUGUGGCAACGCUGUUACAAAAUAAACACAACUGUCCAACUCAAAAUUCAAUUGUCAAAUAUUCUUCUUCUUUUCAAUUAGCCUUGUACCACAUAUAUUAGCGAUCCACAUUAUGUGUGGCCAUCUCUAAUUCCGGAAGCUCACUAUAUAUAUGGAACCAAUUUUUUCCAUUGAGUUCGCAGGGCAUGGGUAGAAAUAACAUCUCCAAUCUCCAAUGGCCGGUGAUUCUAUCUAGAAGAGAAUUUGUGUUAAAAUUUGGUUUUAUGUGAAUGCUGAAUAUAAGUUAAAAGUUGUGUUUUUUUUUUGGUUUUGGUGAAGUAUAGGAGAGGAGUUUCGUUGCUUUUUACAGCAUCACCGGUCAUUGGAGAAGAAGAUAGAGUCCAAGUAGUCAUUAAUUUAUUCUUUUAAAUGGAAAAAUAAUAAGUUGGGAAUUUUGGGUCAAUUUUGUUGGAUAUGGGCAUGGAAUUUUUGUUGAGUUUCCGGUACUAGGAAGUACAUCCUCGUCGAGACAAGUACCCUCCACCCCUAAGGUUGGGAAAACCUGGAAAAUACUGUACUUGGGUCUCUUCCGAUCAUCACCCUCGAAGGAGGUUGGAUGAGAAACACACCUUCACUUGUGUGGAAGCGACAGGUUUUAUAAAUAGAAUUUGCAUGUCAAUUUAUUUAAUAAUACCUUUAAAUUGUACUCUUUUUGUCAAUAACUGUUAAUAAUAAUUUAUCUUCAUUUUUCUUAAAAAUAUAAUUAACCUAAUGACAUUCAAUAUUUUGAUACAUUAAAUCUUUCCACUGUUUCUAUCAUUUGUUUACAAUAGUUUGAAGGUUGUAAACCAUCUUGUUGUAAGAGUGUUGUGCACAAUAUUCGGGGGUUUAGAACCUUAUUUCAUAACCUAUUUAAAUAAAAUUUAUUUCAUCGGUUAGGCAUUGUCACCUCCGAUCAGAUACGGGAUUGUCAGCCAAUCGUGUAUCCUUCCUUAAUCAUAAGUUGUACACACUGUUGGAUAUAAUUAAUUUCUUACAUAUUUUCAUAUUGUAAAACCUGCGUUAUCGACAGGAGCGUACUAGCCUAGUACGUCCGGUAAGUUAGCUAGUUUGUAUAAAAUUGUAUAUAGGGGUUAUAGGUAUUUUUUUUUCAUUAAAUUUGUUGGUUGUACAUA